AUUGAACGCUGGCGGCAUGCUUUACACAUGCAAGUCGAACGGUAACAGGCCGCAAGGUGCUGGCGAGUGGCGAACGGGUGAGUAAUGUAUCGGAACGUGCCCAGUCGUGGGGGAUAACGCAGCGAAAGCUGCGCUAAUACCGCAUACGAUCUAUGGAUGAAAGCGGGGGACCGUAAGGCGUCGCGCGAUUGGAGCGGCCGAUAUCAGACUAGGUAGUUGGUGGGGUAAAGGCUCACCAAGCCAACGAUCUGUAGCUGGUCUGAGAGGACGACCAGCCACACUGGGACUGAGACACGGCCCAGACUCCUACGGGAGGCAGCAGUGGGGAAUUUUGGACAAUGGGCGCAAGCCUGAUCCAGCAAUGCCGCGUGCAGGAAGAAGGCCUUCGGGUUGUAAACUGCUUUUGUACGGAACGAAACGGUCUGGGUUAAUACCUCGGGCUAAUGACGGUACCGUAAGAAUAAGCACCGGCUAACUACGUGCCAGCCGCCGCAGUAA
This 498-nucleotide ribosomal RNA is filed under the name uncultured bacterium. RNAcentral's name for it is "partial 16S ribosomal RNA". It matches the Rfam family "Bacterial small subunit ribosomal RNA", at positions 30 to 523 of the family's 1533-position model. The record is from RNAcentral.